AAAUGAAUAGACGGGGACCCGCACAAGCGGUGGAGCAUGUGGUUUAAUUCGACGAUACACGAAGAACCUUACCUGGACUUGACAUAGUAAGAAUGAUUUAGAGAUAGAUUAGUGUCUGCUUGCAGAAACUUGCAUACAGGUGCUGCACGGCUGUCGUCAGCUCGUGUCGUGAGAUGUUGGGUUAAGUCCCGCAACGAGCGCAACCCUCGUCCUUAGUUGCUAACAGUUCGGCUGAGAACUCUAAGGAGACUGCCUACGCAAGUAGGAGGAAGGUGAGGAUGACGUCAAGUCAUCAUGGCCCUUACGUCCAGGGCUACACACGUGCUACAAUGGGGUAUACAAAGAGCAGCAAUACGGUGACGUGGAGCAAAUCUCAAAAAUGCCUCCCAGUUCGGAUUGUAGUCUGCAACUCGACUACAUGAAGUUGGAAUCGCUAGUAAUCGUAGAUCAGCUAUGCUACGGUGAAUACGUUCCCGGGUCUUGUACACACCGCCCGU
This 497-nucleotide ribosomal RNA is filed under the name uncultured bacterium. RNAcentral's name for it is "bacterial SSU rRNA". It matches the Rfam family "Bacterial small subunit ribosomal RNA", at positions 903 to 1397 of the family's 1533-position model. The record is from RNAcentral.